GGCGUCAACCCCUGGCAGGCGGAAGCCAUGGUAGUAGCGCUAGAGCUCGUCCUGUACCCUCCGUCUCAGCAGACUUCUUCAGUGCCACCGGGGCCGCCAGGCUCUACAUCCUCCAGCUUUUUGUCCUUGACCUUCAGGGACUGGAGUCAUCGCUGAGAGGGGGCGAUACCGGCCUCCCCGACGAACACACCGGCUGCAGCGGGAGUCCACGGCACUCCUGCCACCAUACACAGGCGCUCAGGCCUCGGCUUCCGGCGGCCGCAGGACUUGGCUCUGAGGCACAGGUCUGCAGUCCCUGAUGAAUAAUGAGCUCUGAGCAAAGUAAACUUGGCACUAUGUCAGUGGUCUCCACAUAGCUCCCCUCAGCUGAAACAUGGAAGUCCGGCAUGGUGACACGUGUCUCUAGCCCCAGCAUUCCAAAGAAUCGCAAGCUUGAGCCCAGCCUGGGAAACUUAGUGACUUUGUGAGACCCUAUCUCAAAAAAAAAAAGAAAAAAGAGGGGCCUGGAAUUGUAGCUCAGUUGAAGGCUCUGGGUUCAAUCCCCGGUGUCACAAACAAACAAAUAAAAAACCAAGAAAAUAUAGGAAGAGCUUGUCCCAGGGGUUCACUCCAGGUCCUGUUCUUCCGCACAGUGGACUCCUGCUGGAUGUGGUGUUGCUAUCUGACUGGACACUCAAGCUGUUUAGUGGGAGAUCUCUCAUCCUCAGUGGCAGCAUGGACCCCAGUGCCAAGGAACUCCCAGAAGACAAAGUUACACGUAAUCAACUUCAGCCCCAAACAGACCAAAAAGCCCUCAUUCUAGGGACAUAGGCCAUGUCCCCCAAGAGGCGGAAGGAAGGGGAAUGGAAUAUGUUCCAGGAUAAUUCCACUGAAUGCUCCAACUCUGCUGUUUGCCAGGGGGGCUCAGCCUUUGGCUGUGCUUUUCAGGUGCAUCUCAGGGACUCCUCAGGGGCUCAGUGCCUCCUCUCCUGGG
Molecule: long non-coding RNA, 973 nt
Filed under: Heterocephalus glaber (naked mole-rat)
Lineage: Eukaryota; Metazoa; Chordata; Mammalia; Rodentia; Bathyergidae
Description: lncRNA (ENSHGLG00100051800.1)
Source: RNAcentral